CAAGGAAUGCUCACGAUCGGAAAUGUGUGUCCAAGCAACAAGUCUGAGAACGAGUGAAAUGCUUUUUCUCUCAAGGACAAGUUGUGAUGGGGAGCGAAAUUUAGUAGCGAAGUUCCUGAUGUCACACUGCCAAGAAAAGCUUCUAGUGAGAAAGUAACUGCCCGUACCGCAAACCGACACAGGUAGUUGAGGAGAGAAUCCUAAGGUGUGCGAGAGAACUCUCGUUAAGGAACUCGGCAAAAUGACCCCGUAACUUCGGGAGAAGGGGUGCUGACCGCAAGGUCAGCCGCAGUGAAUAGGCCCAAGCGACUGUUUAUCAAAAACACAGGUCUCUGCAAAAUCGAAAGAUGACGUAUAGGGGCUGACGCCUGCCCGGUGCUGGAAGGUUAAGAGGAGAGGUUAGCGCAAGCGAAGCUUUGAAUUGAAGCCCCAGUAAACGGCGGCCGUAACGAUAACGGUCCUAAGGUAGCGAAAUUCCUUGUCGGGUAAGUUCCGACCCGCACGAAAGGCGUAACGAUUUGGGCACUGUCUCAACGAGAGACUCGGUGAAAUUAUAGUACCAGUGAAGAUGCUGGUUACCCGCGACAGGACGGAAAGACCCCAUGAAGCUUUACUGCAGUUUGAUAUUGCGUGUUUGUAUCACAUGUACAGGAUAGGUAGGAGCCAAUGAUACCGGGACGCCAGUCUCGGAGGAGGCAACGGUGGGAUACUACCCUUGUGAUAUGACCACUCUAACCCGCUGCUCUUAGCGAGCAGGGAGACAGUGUCAGACGGGCAGUUUGACUGGGGCGGUCGCCUCCAAAAAUGUAACGGGGGCGCCCAAAGGUUCCCUCAGAAUGGUUGGAAAUCAUUCGUAGAGUGUAAAGGCAGAAGGGAGCUUGACUGCGAGACCUACAAGUCGAGCAGGGACGAAAGUCGGGCUUAGUGAUCCGGUGGUUCCGCAUGGAAGGGCCAUCGCUCAACGGAUAAAAGCUACCCUGGGGAUAACAGGCUAUCUCCCCCAAGAGUUCACAUCGACGGGGAGGUUUGGCACCUCGAUGUCGGCUCAUCGCAUCCUGGGGCUGUAGUCGGUCCCAAGGGUUGGGCUGUUCGCCCAUUAAAGCGGUACGCGAGCUGGGUUCAGAACGUCGUGAGACAGUUCGGUCCCUAUCCGUCGCGGGCGUUGGAAAUUUGAGAGGAGCUGUCCUUAGUACGAGAGGACCGGGAUGGACACACCGCUGGUGUACCAGUCGUUCUGCCAAGAGCAUCGCUGGGUAGCUAUGUGUGGACGGGAUAAACGCUGAAAGCAUCUAAGCGUGAAGCCCCCCUCAAGAUGAGAUUUCCCAUCACUUUAAGUGAGUAAGACCCCUGAGAGAUGAUCAGGUAGAUAGGUUGGGAGUGGAAGUACAGCGAUGUAUGGAGCGGACCAAUACUAAUCGGUCGAGGACUUAACA
This 1433-nucleotide ribosomal RNA is filed under the name metagenome. RNAcentral's name for it is "bacterial LSU rRNA". It matches the Rfam family "Bacterial large subunit ribosomal RNA", at positions 1483 to 2925 of the family's 2925-position model. The record is from RNAcentral.